Molecule: ribosomal RNA, 231 nt
Filed under: Salmonella enterica subsp. enterica serovar Muenchen
Lineage: Bacteria; Pseudomonadati; Pseudomonadota; Gammaproteobacteria; Enterobacterales; Enterobacteriaceae
Also listed under: 15 other names
Description: partial 23S ribosomal RNA
Rfam family: Bacterial large subunit ribosomal RNA
Source: RNAcentral
CUAAGCGUACACGGUGGAUGCCCUGGCAGUCAGAGGCGAUGAAGGACGUGCUAAUCUGCGAUAAGCGCCGGUAAGGUGAUAUGAACCGUUAUAACCGGCGAUUUCCGAAUGGGGAAACCCAGUGUGACUCGUCACACUAUCAUUAACUGAAUCCAUAGGUUAAUGAGGCGAACCGGGGGAACUGAAACAUCUAAGUACCCCGAGGAAAAGAAAUCAACCGAGAUUCCCCCA